RNAcentral lists this transfer RNA (58 nucleotides) under Vibrio sp. HENC-03. Its description in RNAcentral is "partial tRNA-Ser". It matches the Rfam family "tRNA", at positions 17 to 71 of the family's 71-position model. Rfam says of the family: Transfer RNA (tRNA) molecules are approximately 80 nucleotides in length. Their secondary structure includes four short double-helical elements and three loops (D, anti-codon, and T loops). Lineage: Bacteria; Pseudomonadati; Pseudomonadota; Gammaproteobacteria; Vibrionales; Vibrionaceae. The record is from RNAcentral.
GGAGAGCGCCUGCCUUGCACGCAGGAGGUCUGCGGUUCGAUCCCGCAUAGCUCCACCA